UACGUAGGUGGCAAGCGUUGUCCGGAUUUCCUGGGCGUAAAGAGCGCGCAGGCGGUCGUUUAAGUCGAAUGUGAAAGCCCCCGGCUCAACUGGGGAGGGUCAUUCGAUACUGAUCGACUUGAAGGCAGGAGAGGGAAGUGGAAUUCCGGGUGUAGUGGUGAAAUGCGUAGAUAUCUGGAGGAACACCGGUGGCGAAGGCGGCAUCCUGGACCAACACUGACGCUGAGGAGCGAAAGCCAGGGGAGCAAACGGG
This 253-nucleotide ribosomal RNA is filed under the name uncultured bacterium. Its description in RNAcentral is "partial 16S ribosomal RNA". It matches the Rfam family "Bacterial small subunit ribosomal RNA", at positions 524 to 776 of the family's 1533-position model. The record is from RNAcentral.